ACGUUGUUAGUAUAAUUAAAUUAUACUACUUUUCCAAAGUAGUGAUCUAUUCAUUUAGAUAACGUA
RNAcentral lists this transfer RNA (66 nucleotides) under Caulobothrium sp. MZUSP 7989. RNAcentral describes it as "tRNA-Gly". RNAcentral also lists the same sequence under 1 other name. Lineage: Eukaryota; Metazoa; Platyhelminthes; Cestoda; Tetraphyllidea. The record is from RNAcentral.